Molecule: long non-coding RNA, 827 nt
Filed under: Numida meleagris (helmeted guineafowl)
Lineage: Eukaryota; Metazoa; Chordata; Aves; Galliformes; Numididae
Description: lncRNA (ENSNMEG00000021212.1)
Source: RNAcentral
UAACAGAAUAGUUCUCUGCUGCGGAGAGAGAAUGCUCACUAACUCCAGAAAACAUUAAUAGUGGAGGGCCACACUAAAUAUCUGAAUGAAGCCUACACGCACUGGGCCUGGGAUGUGCUUUGUUAUCUGACAUGAAUCAACCAGAUGCAGUGAUUUGGCCUCAAGAGGGCUCCCAGCUUCCUUCCAGCGUCCUUGGAUGAGACAGAGACAGCAACUUGGCGGAGAGAUAGGAUGAUCACAGCUGUACGGCUGCUCAAGAAGCAUUGCUUUCCAGCAUGAAAGGCGUAGUGUUGAACUGCUAAACUCUUCUCUAUUCCUACGCACCUGUGUCUAUGGGAGACGCAGGUACCUUUGCAGAUCUUGGCCCGCAUCAUUGGAGCAAAUGGGAUGAAGAGGGAGUGCAGGGAAGAGGGGAAGAAGGGGCAGUUGAGAAAGAAGAGCUUUGGAUGGUUCUAAUGCCAUCUAACAACACUGGGGCCUUGCUGAGAAUGUAUUGUAUCUCCCAGAAGACGCUGUUUAACUUACCUUUGGAAAGCACAGUGAAAGGAGUUUCAAGCAUCUCCCAGGACCGUCAAUGCUGUUGCAAUAAUAUAUUAAAUAAACAACGUCACUAUUGUUUGCAAAGGAAACAGAGUUCCAGCAGCAUUGUCUGGGGCACAGACAUACUUUCUUCACAGACUCCUCCAGCAGCGGCUGUUCUGCUCCAGCAGGGUGUCUGCAAUUGGCAGGUUGAUCUGCACAUCUGGGAUGACUAGUGACAGAAUAAGGUGGGUGAUGAGCUUAGUUUAACUGUAAAAUGGUUAUCUGGAUGGAGCAGAAGAAUUCUA